RNAcentral lists this unclassified non-coding RNA (342 nucleotides) under fungal sp. RNAcentral's name for it is "partial internal transcribed spacer region". The stretch from base 1 to 46 matches the Rfam family "Eukaryotic small subunit ribosomal RNA", at positions 1786 to 1831 of the family's 1831-position model. The record is from RNAcentral. Lineage: Eukaryota; Fungi.
AAGUCGUAACAAGGUUUCCGUAGGUGAACCUGCGGAAGGAUCAUUAACACGUAUCCAACGUUAAACCCCCCUGUGAACCUUCAGAAGUCCGUUCUUUGUCGACCAGUAUUGAUUCGGGACCUCUGACAAAUGCCUUACGAUCGAGCUGUACAGUGACAUGGCUUCCAGUGAAUGAAAGUGUCACCGGAUAACGCCUCACGAUUGCUGGGUCGACCACCGGCCAGCUUCCAUGUCAUAGGGUCCUUUGAGAUCCCUUCGAAACCCCACUACUUUAUAGUUCGGGCUUGCUAAAUACACGCCCAAAAAAACGAACAACUGUUAACAAUGGAUAUCUUGGUUCUC